CAGCCGCCACGGUAAGACAGAGGAUGCAAGCGUUAAUCGGAAUUACUGGGCGUAAAGCGUGCGCAGGCGGUUAUAUAAGACAGAUGUGAAAUCCCCGGGCUCAACCUGGGAACUGCAUUUGUGACUGUAUAGCUAGAGUACGGCAGAGGGGGAUGGAAUUCCGCGUGUAGCAGUGAAAUGCGUAGAUAUGCGGAGGAACACCGAUGGCGAAGGCAAUCCCCUGGGCCUGUACUGACGCUCAUGCACGAAAGCGUGGGGAGCAAACAGGAUUAGAUACCCGAGUAGUCCCUGUCUCUUAUAC
Molecule: ribosomal RNA, 301 nt
Filed under: uncultured bacterium
Lineage: Bacteria
Description: partial 16S ribosomal RNA
Rfam family: Bacterial small subunit ribosomal RNA
Source: RNAcentral